This 1162-nucleotide long non-coding RNA is filed under the name Homo sapiens (human). RNAcentral describes it as "HSALNT0400564". Lineage: Eukaryota; Metazoa; Chordata; Mammalia; Primates; Hominidae. The record is from RNAcentral.
GGCUUGGGCUGGUGACGCGUGCGCCGGCCGGCCGCCGAGGGGCUACCGUUCUGCCUCCGACCGGUCGUGUAAAUACUAGGCUUUAGAAUUUCACCAUAUGAAUUUUGGGAGAGAGGAGCACAGUUCAGCCCAUAACUAACACACGACGGAAUGAAGUUGAUAAUAGUGAGACCUUGUUGGUACAAGACUAUGUAACAUAACCUGCGCUUCUCAACAAAGAAUUGCUUUUCUGACUUCUGCACUCAAUAGCAAGACAAAUCUCUCCUCUGCCUUCUCCUUAUCAGACUACUCAACAUGAAGGCAAUAAGAAUGAAGACCUCUAUGUAUAAUAAUUGACUUCCACUUAAUAAAUAAGGUUACUUGGUACACUGGUCGACAAAACCUUGAAAUGUUGAUGUUUAAGGGCUGUUGAUUGCUGGCAGCAAAGAAGUCCAACUGUGCUGGUACCCGAGAUAGCGUCUCCACAUUUUCUUCCAGGAUCAUCACCUUUGUUCUAAAUAGCUCCCACAUAGUGUGAACAGAAGUCAUAUGUUUUAGAUUUUCUGCCUUGGCACCCAGGAAACCAGUAUGAUUGAGUAAACAUAUUAAACUUCCUCUGCAUUUCCAGCCUGAACAGAUGUUGAGUACAAGCUGAUCCACCUACGUUCAACCUGAGAGAGUCCACAUCCACAGACUGUUUCAUUUCCCUUUUUCAAUUUACAUAGAAGCAUAGAUUCUUGCUGGCAUAUACAAAUGCGCCAUUUAAGGCAAUCAAAAAUGGUUCCACAUCUCAUCUGAUUUCCACAAUUGUUGCUGUAACGAUGGACUACUGAGGAGAGAGACAAUUUCUCUGGCACAUCUUCCCACAUUUUAGCAACAUGUUCAUGGAGAGCCAAUAUUCAGUAAUUACAGCCCAAUUCCUCACAAUUUCACAAUUCGCUAACAAUAUGCAUUUUCACAAUGUAAAGCUGAUUUUCCUUUAACCAAAUCAAACAUGAAAAGAUAGCUGCAUGCAAUGGGCAAUCUAGAUCAUUAGAAGAUUGAUGUAAAAUUAGAGGACACUGAGACUGGAAUAGAUUGCAAACUUCAGGGAGCUCAGAAAACUUGUAAACUCUACAUUUUGAGGAAAUAUGUUGUCGAUGCUUUUGCAACUCUAUGCAGUAACUUAACAAAUAAAGCCUUA